UACGUAGGGCGCAAGCGUUGUCCGGAAUUAUUGGGCGUAAAGAGCUCGUAGGCGGCCUGUCGCGUCUGCUGUGAAAUCCCGGGGCUUAACCCCGGGCGUGCAGUGGAUACGGGCUGGCUGGAGGCAGGCAGGGGAGAACGGAAUUCCCGGUGUAGCGGUGAAAUGCGCAGAUAUCGGGAGGAACACCGGUGGCGAAGGCGGUUCUCUGGGCCUGUUCUGACGCUGAGGAGCGAAAGCGUGGGGAGCGAUCCGG
RNAcentral lists this ribosomal RNA (253 nucleotides) under uncultured bacterium. RNAcentral describes it as "partial 16S ribosomal RNA". It matches the Rfam family "Bacterial small subunit ribosomal RNA", at positions 524 to 776 of the family's 1533-position model. The record is from RNAcentral.